RNAcentral lists this ribosomal RNA (253 nucleotides) under uncultured bacterium. RNAcentral's name for it is "partial 16S ribosomal RNA". It matches the Rfam family "Bacterial small subunit ribosomal RNA", at positions 524 to 776 of the family's 1533-position model. The record is from RNAcentral.
UACAGAGGUCUCAAGCGUUGUUCGGAUUCAUUGGGCGUAAAGGGUGUGUAGGUGGCGCGCUAAGUCGGGUGUGAAAUUUCGGAGCUUAACUCCGAAACUGCAUUCGAUACUGGCGUGCUUGAGGACUGGAGAGGAGACUGGAAUUCAUGGUGUAGCAGUGAAAUGCGUAGAGAUCAUGAGGAAGACCAGUGGCGAAGGCGGGUCUCUGGACAGUUCCUGACGCUGAGGCGCGACAGCGUGGGGAGCAAACAGG